Beta vulgaris subsp. vulgaris (sugar beet) is the source of this 864-nucleotide long non-coding RNA. RefSeq lists it as uncharacterized. NCBI's taxonomy places the organism in Eukaryota, Viridiplantae, Streptophyta, Magnoliopsida, Caryophyllales, Amaranthaceae. The transcript has 2 exons. The record is from RefSeq and is a predicted model, not a curated record.
UUGUACGAUACAGUCAGUUUUUUUUCAUAAUAGUCAUUUUUUGUGUGAUAAAAUCAAUUCGGAUGCGCAAUAAAUUAUUGUGAAUCUGAUUCACCCUACACGUUUUUGUUUGUAGUACAUUGCAUUUGCUUGAAACUAUUAAGUGCAAAUCUUGAAUAUAGCAAUUUGCCUCAUCCUCUCUUUAUAAAAAAAAUUAAAACUAAAAAUGAUAACGAACUGAUAUAAAAGAGAUAAUAAAAUUUAAAAUUAGUCAUAUUUAUACUAAAUAUAUCAAUUUUGAAAACUGAUAAUUGAAAACCGAAAAUUAUUUUUUCAAAUUUACAUAAUUUUUUUUUGAAAGGACAUAAUUUUGUUUUUGGUUUUAAAAAAGCUAAAAACUGACUGAAAAACGAUAACGAACGAGCCCAGUUAUUAACUCUACCAAAUCACCCCCCUACAACUCUACAAGGCUACAACUCAUAACCUAAUUUAUUCUCUUGCAAAUAAUGGCGAAUGUUGACGAACGAAGACGUGAAGAAAACGUGCCUCCAUUUUCUGCCGAUGUCUGCGGAUUCUAGUGGCUAAACUAAGGCUUGGUCUGGUCUAUAAUAUCGUCAUAUAUUGGAGCUUCAGGGCUGCAAGGAGCAGACAUUGACUCAGUUGGUAGAGCACAAGGCAAUGUGUGGUUUGCAGAUUUAUCAUAUGGUUGCUGGUUCAAAGUAGGCAAGUUGAAAUCCCUUUCCCCUGAUUCCUGAUGAGAUAACCCUCAUCAUACCCAAAUUUCCCCAGACUUGCAACUUUAUCCUUUUUCUAAAUGUGGAAACAACUGAAUAUCCAUUAUGAGAAAAAGUAAGUUACAUUUGAGGUAAAGAAAAGGUUGGAACA